Molecule: ribosomal RNA, 253 nt
Filed under: uncultured bacterium
Lineage: Bacteria
Description: partial 16S ribosomal RNA
Rfam family: Bacterial small subunit ribosomal RNA
Source: RNAcentral
UACGUAGGGGGCAAGCGUUGUCCGGAAUCAUUGGGCGUAAAGAGCGCGUAGGCGGCCCGAUAAGUCCGCUGUGAAAGUCAAGGGCUUAACCCUUGAAUGCCGGUGGAAACUGUCGGGCUAGAGUCCGGAAGAGGCGAGUGGAAUUCCUGGUGUAGCGGUGAAAUGCGCAGAUAUCAGGAGGAACACCGAUGGCGAAGGCAGCUCGCUGGGACGGUACUGACGCUGAGGUGCGAAAGCGUGGGGAGCAAACAGG